Molecule: long non-coding RNA, 814 nt
Filed under: Bos indicus x Bos taurus (hybrid cattle)
Lineage: Eukaryota; Metazoa; Chordata; Mammalia; Artiodactyla; Bovidae
Description: lncRNA (ENSBIXG00005012010.1)
Source: RNAcentral
CUGGAGUCCACUGGUAGGAAAGGGUUGCUCCAGAGGCAACACCAAGCAGGACUUUAACUUCCCUGGCGGGGAGGCACUCUGCCAUAUCAGAGAGGCUUUGCAACCAGCCCCCACCCCAGUUAUGUCUCCACCAGUCUCACUCUAUUUAUCAGGUAUAAGGAAUCGGGAGGCACGCCAAAGUACAGGAAGGGUUUUUAGUGGCUGCAAGACAGCGCUGGAGAUGACCCAGCUGCCAUGGUGCUCUGGAGACAACUGGGAAUGAAAGUCUGUCUGGCUCCACCUGUGUCCAGCACGUGGCAGUCAUCUGCUUGCAGGGGACAGUUCCGAUCAUCCCUAACCAAUCCAGCCACAGUUGGAGGAGACAUAGCAUCUGGUCCCUGCUUAGAACUACUUCCUCAGUGAAUGAAGGACCGGGACUCAAGGUAAAUUCUCAGUCAAUAAAGCGUAGCUCUUCGUGGACCAGUUACUUUUGUGUUAAUAAUGACACAGGAGAAUGGAGUAAGCAGGACAUCUGUGGAAUCAGAUUCUCUUCCCUUUGGGGGUGGGGAUUGGAGUGCAUGUUUCCUAUGACCCCUAAUUCUGGAAACUCCUGACCAAAGAGGCUGCAAGGUUCAUUACACACAUGUGGGUCACACUGUUGCCUCAUCAGCCACAGUUGUAGCCUCACAGUGGAACUGGGGUCAAGAUCCUGAGAGCACCAUUCAGGUCACUUAACGUUUCCGAAGGACCAAGUGGCAAUGUAGGCCCCGCAACUAUGUGUCCAGACGAUGGACAGUUGAAUGACAUCAGGCUGCUAGUGGAGUCUCUGACACUG